UGCAUGUUCCGAGGCUCCAGCCUGUGUUUGGACAGCAGAACCAUCUCGCUGUUCCAUUAUUUCAUCUUUUAUCUCCUGGAGGAUCUUGGAUCCGCUCUUUGUUGCGGUAUCAUGAGCUUACUCCUUUCAGGUUGGAUUUAACGGAGAACGGCUCAGCAAACACACGCAAUUCUGCAGACGAAUCGUCGUUUUAUUUUAAUUUUAUUAAACAUAAACAAUUUUAUGCGACAUUGGUUUGCCGUUGGUUAUUUGAGAUGUAGGCUAACGCCCCACGUUCAAUAAAGAUUUGCUCCCUGCGUUUUAUUUCAUCAGUCGUUUUGAAGCUCAAGAAAACUCUGAACGGAUCUUCGUUUCAGAUUUGCGGGCAUUUGAACCUCAUCUCGAGCAGACCUACACUACAUCUGAACCUCCUGAAGAACGGUUCACUAGGCCUAUACUCCAUCUGAACCUCCUGAAGAACGGUUCAGUGGGCUGUAGGCCUACACUCCUGGUUUCCGAGUAGGCCGUAGUCCUAUGCCACAACAUUCCUGAAAAAGACUCACAACUAAAUAUGGCCAACCAUGCUGUGGUGAGCGGAGAAGAACGUAACGAGAAAAACUGAACCAUGCUAUUGUGAGCAGAGAAGAACGUGACGAGAAGAACGCAACCCUGUUGCGGUGCAGAGAAGAACGUAACAGACGAGAGCGCUGUCCUCUGUGGAGCAUUAGGCUCACAGAGACGGCCUGUACGCCACGAUGCUCUGGUGGUGAUCAGAAAUCACUGGUCAACACACCACACUAGUGAUCCAUCCCGUCAUAAAGGCUCCUGUCGCUCCUCGAUCACGUCCUGGUUCUGAGCAGGCGAACAGCGACACCCAGCGGCGGAAUGGGCGACCAGCAGGUGAUCAGCGAUCAGCGGCGGAACGGGCGGCCAGCAGGCGAACAACGACACCCAGCGGCGGGACGGGAGACCAGCAGCGGCAGUAGAGUUCGGACCGUCUGACAAGAAUGAACACUUCCUACAAGUGAGGAAAUCUUCACGAGUUUAAUUAGGCCUACUAGUUGUUUGGAAAAUAUAACUAGCUCGCAGAUUGCUGAUGGGUUAUACAACUAGUGUUUGAAAAUCACAAAUGGAAUAUGCAUAAUCCUAAUAGCCGUGAGAAAGUGUUUAUUCAAAAUCAUUAGAGGUCAUAAGUUCGCUACUUUGGUUCCUGCCCAGGAAGUCAGCGUUUACAAUAUGGCUACCAUGUCACUAACAACAUGUCACUCAAUGUCUGCUCCUUCAGCCACAGAUGUUCGGCCAAACGUUGUUGUCUCGAACCCGUCUGUUAAACAGCUCUCAAUAUAUAUUUAUUUUUAAAUCCCAGUUAUGUGUAGGUGUCUGUGUGACUGCGUGUGUGUGUGUGUGUGUGUGUGUGUGUGUGUGUGUGUGUGUGUGUGUGUGUGUGUGUGUGUGUGUGUGUGUGUGUGUGUGUGUGUGCGUGUGUGUGUCUGUUUCUGUGUGUAUGUGUGUGUGUGUGUGUGUGUGUGUUUGCAACCUUCUUCAACACAUGCAUGCUGCACUAGAUCAGAGACAAUCACACAGUUGAUAACAGAGG
Long non-coding RNA from Gadus macrocephalus (Pacific cod), 1576 nucleotides. RefSeq lists it as uncharacterized. The record is from RefSeq and is a predicted model, not a curated record. The transcript is spliced from 3 exons. NCBI's taxonomy places the organism in Eukaryota, Metazoa, Chordata, Actinopteri, Gadiformes, Gadidae.